Molecule: long non-coding RNA, 263 nt
Organism: Diprion similis
Lineage: Eukaryota; Metazoa; Arthropoda; Insecta; Hymenoptera; Diprionidae
Exons: 3
Source: RefSeq, a predicted model, not a curated record
CCCUUCAUUCUCUGUCUAUAUUAUUAGAUUAUUAUAAUGAAUACGGACGACAGUUGACUCCACCCGGUACGUCCGUUCCUGGCCCUGCGGAACCUAUACAUCAGUCUGUUGUUGUAUGGCAGCCCAACCCCAGUUACGCGUCCGACGCGUCGGUCUUCGGGAGAUCGUUGGGAUCCGGCGGGUACUUGAUUGAAACGUGGCCACCGAGUUUCCUGCACCAGUCCGACGCGUCGGAUGGCAGUAGACCGUCGGGGUCAGGCGGG